UCUCUAGUUGAUUGUGAAGUGGUGGUAGAUGGGUCGUCGGCCCGGAGAUGGUGUAAAGAUGCGGCGGAGUUGUGGUGUUGACCGGAACGGUUGUGGUGUCUCGAGGGUGGUGGCUCGAGGUUGUCGUAGGAAGUGAAUCGGAGGUCCGGGAAGCAGAAUAAGGAGAAGUAUGAUGUUAGAAGUCAGAGGUGGUGCAGGAACUGGAUGGAAACGAUCGGUGGUGACACAGGGUGGUUGACGGUGGCUUUGCGACGGCGCCGGUGAAGGUGGUGGUGUGGUGGAGACGGUGGUGGAUGGUGCAGACAGAGGUGGUGAUGCGGUGGUCGAUGGGUGUUGAUCGGAGAAAAGUGGUGAUGAUGGUUUAAAAGGGGUUGGGUUGGGUUUGUGUUUCAAAUUGAUUUGUGUGUUUGGGGAAAAACGAAAAGGUGUAGUUUGGGGCUGAGGCGGUGGUUGUUUGCAGUUGUGAUAAUAUGGUGGAAGUGUAAGAUGAUGAUGGUACGGUGGUUAAGGGGGAACGACGGUGAAGUGCGGUGGUGGUGACCGGAGCGAGGGGACGGCGGCGACAGGCGGUGACCGGUGGUUUACGGUGAAGUGGUGGUGUUUGAACAAUUUAUUACGGUUGUGAGUGAUGAUGAUGAUGGUGGGAAGUGUGGUAGCCGGAGAUGGUUCUUGAUACAGAUCUGGGUUUUACCGGCGGAAUCACGGCUAUGGAAAACGGUGACUUACCGGCGUAUUUAAUACGCCGGAGAACUUGA
This 755-nucleotide long non-coding RNA is filed under the name Helianthus annuus (common sunflower). Its description in RNAcentral is "sRNA HanXRQr2_Chr10g0442231". The record is from RNAcentral. Lineage: Eukaryota; Viridiplantae; Streptophyta; Magnoliopsida; Asterales; Asteraceae.